RNAcentral lists this ribosomal RNA (2358 nucleotides) under Enterobacter roggenkampii CHS 79. RNAcentral describes it as "bacterial LSU rRNA". It matches the Rfam family "Bacterial large subunit ribosomal RNA", at positions 590 to 2925 of the family's 2925-position model. The record is from RNAcentral. Lineage: Bacteria; Pseudomonadati; Pseudomonadota; Gammaproteobacteria; Enterobacterales; Enterobacteriaceae.
GGUGUGACUGCGUACCUUUUGUAUAAUGGGUCAGCGACUUAUAUUCUGUAGCAAGGUUAACCGUAUAGGGGAGCCGAAGGGAAACCGAGUCUUAACUGGGCGUUAAGUUGCAGGGUAUAGACCCGAAACCCGGUGAUCUAGCCAUGGGCAGGUUGAAGGUUGGGUAACACUAACUGGAGGACCGAACCGACUAAUGUUGAAAAAUUAGCGGAUGACUUGUGGCUGGGGGUGAAAGGCCAAUCAAACCGGGAGAUAGCUGGUUCUCCCCGAAAGCUAUUUAGGUAGCGCCUCGUGAACUCAUCUUCGGGGGUAGAGCACUGUUUCGGCUAGGGGGCCAUCCCGGCUUACCAACCCGAUGCAAACUACGAAUACCGAAGAAUGUUAUCACGGGAGACACACGGCGGGUGCUAACGUCCGUCGUGAAGAGGGAAACAACCCAGACCGCCAGCUAAGGUCCCAAAGUCAUGGUUAAGUGGGAAACGAUGUGGGAAGGCACAGACAGCCAGGAUGUUGGCUUAGAAGCAGCCAUCAUUUAAAGAAAGCGUAAUAGCUCACUGGUCGAGUCGGCCUGCGCGGAAGAUGUAACGGGGCUAAACCAUGCACCGAAGCUGCGGCAGCGACACUAUGUGUUGUUGGGUAGGGGAGCGUUCUGUAAGCCGUUGAAGGUGUGCUGUGAGGGUUGCUGGAGGUAUCAGAAGUGCGAAUGCUGACAUAAGUAACGAUAAAGCGGGUGAAAAGCCCGCUCGCCGGAAGACCAAGGGUUCCUGUCCAACGUUAAUCGGGGCAGGGUGAGUCGACCCCUAAGGCGAGGCCGAAAGGCGUAGUCGAUGGGAAACAGGUUAAUAUUCCUGUACUUGGUGUUACUGCGAAGGGGGGACGGAGAAGGCUAUGUUAGCCGGGCGACGGUUGUCCCGGUUUAAGCAUGUAGGCGGAACGAUUAGGUAAAUCCGGUCGUUUUUUAACGCUGAGGUGUGAUGACGAGGCACUACGGUGCUGAAGUAACAAAUGCCCUGCUUCCAGGAAAAGCCUCUAAGCAUCAGGUAACAUCAAAUCGUACCCCAAACCGACACAGGUGGUCAGGUAGAGAAUACCAAGGCGCUUGAGAGAACUCGGGUGAAGGAACUAGGCAAAAUGGUGCCGUAACUUCGGGAGAAGGCACGCUGAUAUGUAGGUGAAGCCCCUGCGGGUGGAGCUGAAAUCAGUCGAAGAUACCAGCUGGCUGCAACUGUUUAUUAAAAACACAGCACUGUGCAAACACGAAAGUGGACGUAUACGGUGUGACGCCUGCCCGGUGCCGGAAGGUUAAUUGAUGGGGUUAGCGGCAACGCGAAGCUCUUGAUCGAAGCCCCGGUAAACGGCGGCCGUAACUAUAACGGUCCUAAGGUAGCGAAAUUCCUUGUCGGGUAAGUUCCGACCUGCACGAAUGGCGUAAUGAUGGCCAGGCUGUCUCCACCCGAGACUCAGUGAAAUUGAACUCGCUGUGAAGAUGCAGUGUACCCGCGGCAAGACGGAAAGACCCCGUGAACCUUUACUAUAGCUUGACACUGAACACUGGUCCUUGAUGUGUAGGAUAGGUGGGAGGCUUUGAAGUGUGGACGCCAGUCUGCAUGGAGCCGUCCUUGAAAUACCACCCUUUAAUGGCUGGUGUUCUAACGUAGACCCGUGAUCCGGGUUGCGGACAGUGUCUGGUGGGUAGUUUGACUGGGGCGGUCUCCUCCCAAAGAGUAACGGAGGAGCACGAAGGUUAGCUAAUCCUGGUCGGACAUCAGGAGGUUAGUGCAAUGGCAUAAGCUAGCUUGACUGCGAGAGUGACGGCUCGAGCAGGUGCGAAAGCAGGUCAUAGUGAUCCGGUGGUUCUGAAUGGAAGGGCCAUCGCUCAACGGAUAAAAGGUACUCCGGGGAUAACAGGCUGAUACCGCCCAAGAGUUCAUAUCGACGGCGGUGUUUGGCACCUCGAUGUCGGCUCAUCACAUCCUGGGGCUGAAGUAGGUCCCAAGGGUAUGGCUGUUCGCCAUUUAAAGUGGUACGCGAGCUGGGUUUAGAACGUCGUGAGACAGUUCGGUCCCUAUCUGCCGUGGGCGCUGGAGAAUUGAGGGGGGCUGCUCCUAGUACGAGAGGACCGGAGUGGACGCAUCACUGGUGUUCGGGUUGUCAUGCCAAUGGCACUGCCCGGUAGCUAAAUGCGGAAAAGAUAAGUGCUGAAAGCAUCUAAGCACGAAACUUGCCCCGAGAUGAGUUCUCCCUGAGACUUUAAGUCUCCUGAAGGAACGUUGAAGACGACGACGUUGAUAGGUCGGGUGUGUAAGCGCAGCGAUGCGUUGAGCUAACCGAUACUAAUGAACCGUGAGGCUUAACCUU